This 78-nucleotide transfer RNA is filed under the name Eutreptiella gymnastica. It matches the Rfam family "tRNA". From Rfam's summary of the family: Transfer RNA (tRNA) molecules are approximately 80 nucleotides in length. Their secondary structure includes four short double-helical elements and three loops (D, anti-codon, and T loops). Further hydrogen bonds mediate the characteristic L-shaped molecular structure. tRNAs have two regions of fundamental functional importance: the anti-codon, which is responsible for specific mRNA codon recognition, and the 3' end, to which the tRNAs corresponding amino acid is attached (by aminoacyl-tRNA synthetases). tRNAs cope with the degeneracy of the genetic code in two manners: having more than one tRNA (with a specific anti-codon) for a particular amino acid; and 'wobble' base-pairing, i.e. permitting non-standard base-pairing at the 3rd anti-codon position. Lineage: Eukaryota; Euglenozoa; Euglenophyceae; Eutreptiales; Eutreptiaceae. The record is from RNAcentral.
GUGGUGUGGCCGAGUGGUCUAAGGCGUUGCGUUAAGGCCGCAAUCUCUCCGGGGGCGUGGGUUCGAACCCCACCGCCA